AGCAGCCGCGGUAAUUCCAGCUCCAAUAGCGUAUAUUAAAGUUGUUGCAGUUAAAAAGCUCGUAGUUGAAUUUCGGGGUUAGUAGGUUGGUCAUGCCACUGGUAUGUACUGAUCUUACUGAUUCCUCCUUCCUGAUGAACCGUAAUGCCAUUAAUUUGGUGUUGCGGGGAGACUGGACUGUUACUUUGAAAAAUUAGAGUGUUUAAAGCAGGCUAACGCUUGAAUACAUUAGCAUGGAAUAAUGAAAUAGGACGUUCGAUCCUAUUUUGUUGGUUUCUAGGAUUGACGUAAUGAUUAAUAGGGAUAGUUGGGGGCAUUAGUAUUCAAUUGUCAGAGGUGAAAUUCUUGGAUUUAUUGAAGACUAACUACUGCGAAAGCAUUUGCCAAGGAUGUUUUCAUUAAUCAAGAACGAAAGUUAGGGAUCGAAGACGAUCAGAUACCGUCGUAGUC
Molecule: ribosomal RNA, 450 nt
Filed under: uncultured Glomeromycotina
Lineage: Eukaryota; Fungi; Glomeromycota
Description: SSU rRNA
Rfam family: Eukaryotic small subunit ribosomal RNA
Source: RNAcentral